GGCUCGGUGGGUGGAGGAGAAACUGCAUCCCCUUUGGGUCGUUGCCUGACUGAAGGGACCAUGUGCAUGAUAUGUUUGGGAGAUAGUAGAGGAAUAAAGUGAUAAUUUUGGGGGGAAGCUGUCAGUAGAUUGGAAGCCUGCAUAGUACAGCUGAAAAGUUUUAGGUUUGCUGGGUAGGCAAUAGGGAACUUUUGGUAGUGUCUUAAAUGGGG
Molecule: long non-coding RNA, 212 nt
Filed under: Homo sapiens (human)
Lineage: Eukaryota; Metazoa; Chordata; Mammalia; Primates; Hominidae
Description: long non-coding RNA NONHSAT256853
Source: RNAcentral